CAGCUGUAGGCACUCGCCACACUUGCCUCAAUCUCCUGGGAGACCCGGAGUCAGACUAGUUCAGCUCAGCUGCUCUCAAAUUCCUGGCCCGCAAAACCUGCAAGAGCUAAUAAACAACAUUGCUUUGAGGCAAGGUUUCAGUCUAUCAACCAGACUGGAGUUCAGAGAUGCCAUC
Molecule: long non-coding RNA, 175 nt
Filed under: Callithrix jacchus (white-tufted-ear marmoset)
Lineage: Eukaryota; Metazoa; Chordata; Mammalia; Primates; Cebidae
Description: lncRNA (ENSCJAG00000071761.1)
Source: RNAcentral